RNAcentral lists this long non-coding RNA (202 nucleotides) under Elaeis guineensis (African oil palm). RNAcentral describes it as "long non-coding RNA (EGUI_LNC064294)". The record is from RNAcentral. Lineage: Eukaryota; Viridiplantae; Streptophyta; Magnoliopsida; Arecales; Arecaceae.
UGAAUGGCUAGGGAUCAAAGAAAUGUGCAGUAAAACUAAGUAGCCUCACUGUAAAUAGCCAAUACACCGUAGGUCAAAGGAUCAGUCACACUACUGCAGUAUCGAAAAAAUCACUGAUGAGUGAGUAGACAUCCAAGUGAUUUCUUGUAUUGGUCAUGCUAAGUACAAGUUAUUCUCUAACAACCACCUUCACUCUCACCCC